AGCUUUGAAAAAAGCAACGGUCCUGCUGAUGAGGAUGCCCUUGAAAACCAUGAAAACAAUGCAUCCAUCUAUGUGAAUCCAGUUUUGAAGAAGGAGGAUGGUUCAAGACUCUACAACAAGAAGCAUCACUGCUUUUAUUGUAAAAAAAAUAGUUCAAAAAAUGUCGAGACAUUUGUUGCGUAUGCACAAUGAUGAAAUUGAUGUCGCAAAAGCGUUCAGUCUACCAAAGAACUCCAAAGAAAGACGACUGCACUUAGAUUUCAUUAGAAACAAAGGAAACUUUGAACAUAACACCAAUGUUUUCGAGAGCCAGAAAGGAAAGCUCAUUCCUUUCAAACAACCAAAGAAAAAGACUGAGGGACAAGAAUUUCUACAUUGUGUGUACUGCUAUGGACUAUUUACAAAAAGAGUAAUGUGGCGACACUUUCAGGUUUGCAAAUUCAAGCCUCAGGAAAAAAAAUCUAAAUCAGGUAAAACAAGGGUCCAGGCACUGUAUGCUUUUGCUGAACGCGCUCCACCUGGAUUUAGUGAUGCAUACUGGAAGUUCUUGAAUGACAUGAAUCAAGACAAGAUUGCAUUAGCUGUAAAGCAAGACAGCUGCAUUCUGGAGUACGGCUACAGACUGUUCAAGAAGAACGAAAGAGUAAUCAGCCAACAUCAAUAUACCCGACAAAAGCUGAGGGAGCUUGGCAGGCUGAUUGUGGCUGCAAAAAAAGUUGCAGCAGUAAAGACUAUAAAAGAACUCAAAACCUGAGAAGUAUGUUCAUGUUGUAACUGCCGCAAGAUGCUUAGCUGGCUUCAGUGAUGAAACAGGCAAAUAUAAAUGUCCAUCACUGGCCAGAAAAGUUGGACACAGCUUACAUGCUUUGGCCAUGUUUGUGAAGUCGGAAGGAUUGAAGGCCAGAGAUAAAGAAAUUGUCAAAGGUGCUGAGGAAUUUGCUCAGCUGUACCAAGAAAGUUGGAAAUUUGACAUUGCAAGCCAAACACUGAUUCAGCUCAACCAGUCUAAGUGGAAUUGUCCUCAGCUCUUACCAUUCACACAGGAUGUCCAAAGACUUCAUUCCCAGCUGUCUGAAAAACAACAGCAACACUUAGAUGCCUUGAAAGAAGAGAUUUCCCCCUCGAACUGGAAAGACCUGGCAAAAGUGACCCUGGCGCAAGUAAUUCUCUUCAACCGCCGGAGAGAAGGAGAAGUAUCCUAAAUGCCCUUGUCUGUGUACUUGUCCAGAGACCAAUCAGAAACGCAUGAAGAUGCUAACUUGGCCCUUACAGAACUGGAGCAGAAGCUUUGCAAACAUUUUGUCCGGAUAACCAUAGUUGGAAAGAGAGGACGGAAAGUUCCUGUUCUCCUCACUCCACUCAUGAGGGAAUCUCUUGAUACUCUGGUUGAGAAGCGAGAAGAAUGUGGGGUACUGACUGAAAAUGGUUUCUUGUUUGCAUUGCCUCAUUCUGUCAACCACCUCAGGGGUUCUGACUGCAUAAGACAGUUAGUGCAUGAAUGUAGUGAUAUCAAAAAUCCCAAAGCUCUAACCUCAACAAAACUCAGGAAACACAUUGCAACGCUCUCUACUGUACUGAAUCUGAAGAACACAGAACUUGACCAGCUGGCAGAUUUCCUUGGGCAUAACAUUGAUGUACACAGAAAGCACUACCGCCUUCCAGAAGGGACCCUACAGCUCGCCAAGAUAAGCAAAGUUCUCCUGGCAUUGGAACAGGGAUAGUUAGGAAAAUACAAAGGAAAAAGCCUGGAUGAAAUUCACAUCGAUCCAAACGAGACUGUUGAAAUUGAGGCCUGUUCACAAGAGAACAUGGAAGAUGCCAGUAUGGCAGAUGUCCAGGGGUCGGAAGAUGAGACCAGGACCUCAACACUACAAGAAAGCAGCUUUGCCCAAAACCAGAAGAGGAAGUUUGCGAAAAAGAGAGUUGCUAGCAUUACAGAAGCACCGGAGUCAGAAGAUGAGGACAGUGUGAUGUCACUGCCAGACAGCACCUCUGCAGCACCAGAGAACCAGAGAAGCUCUGCAAAAACUAGAGGUGAGCUGAGAAGAAUAAUGUACAAAUUCUGUCCAUUUAUCUGUAAAAGACACAGGAACAAUGUACAAAUUAUAUAAUUGUAUAAAAUCUUUACUCUCUGUUACUACAAUUUUAUAGUUGUCACUAUGACCAAUCAAGGUAUACAUGACAAAGACCAAAA
This is a long non-coding RNA of Labrus mixtus (cuckoo wrasse), 2194 nucleotides long. RefSeq lists it as uncharacterized. NCBI's taxonomy places the organism in Eukaryota, Metazoa, Chordata, Actinopteri, Labriformes, Labridae. The record is from RefSeq and is a predicted model, not a curated record. The transcript is spliced from 4 exons.